This 506-nucleotide ribosomal RNA is filed under the name uncultured bacterium. Its description in RNAcentral is "partial 16S ribosomal RNA". It matches the Rfam family "Bacterial small subunit ribosomal RNA", at positions 30 to 523 of the family's 1533-position model. The record is from RNAcentral.
AUUGAACGCUGGCGGCAGGCCUAACACAUGCAAGUCGAACGGUAACAGGAAACAGCUUGCUGUUUCGCUGACGAGUGGCGGACGGGUGAGUAAUGUCUGGGAAACUGCCUGAUGGAGGGGGAUAACUACUGGAAACGGUAGCUAAUACCGCAUAACGUCGCAAGACCAAAGAGGGGGACCUUCGGGCCUCUUGCCAUCGGAUGUGCCCAGAUGGGAUUAGCUAGUAGGUGGGGUAACGGCUCACCUAGGCGACGAUCCCUAGCUGGUCUGAGAGGAUGACCAGCCACACUGGAACUGAGACACGGUCCAGACUCCUACGGGAGGCAGCAGUGGGGAAUAUUGCACAAUGGGCGCAAGCCUGAUGCAGCCAUGCCGCGUGUAUGAAGAAGGCCUUCGGGUUGUAAAGUACUUUCAGCGGGGAGGAAGGGAGUAAAGUCAAUACCUUUGCUCAUUGACGUUACCCGCAGAAGAAGCACCGGCUAACUCCGUGCCAGCAGCCGCCGUAA